This 259-nucleotide long non-coding RNA is filed under the name Solanum tuberosum (potato). RNAcentral describes it as "long non-coding RNA (STUB_LNC006324)". Lineage: Eukaryota; Viridiplantae; Streptophyta; Magnoliopsida; Solanales; Solanaceae. The record is from RNAcentral.
CCAUAACUGAAACCACAAAUUUAUCCAUUACUUUAACUACGACAAAACAUACAAAACAUUAACCUGCUAAUAUUUUGUUCCUUAUACAAUUUCCAGUGACCGACUACUCCAAGCCAAUAAUUAGCAUCACUAGAGGCAAUUAAUUAUCACCUUUCCCCACUCAAACUUGUACCUUUAAGUACUCAUUCUAACAUAAAACUAAUUUAAUUGUUGAUUCUUUUCCUCCCAAGCCGACACUACACAUAGCCCUUUUACUAAG